UAGGUUAGAGCCUCUCAUACCU
This 22-nucleotide non-coding RNA is filed under the name Arabidopsis thaliana (thale cress). Lineage: Eukaryota; Viridiplantae; Streptophyta; Magnoliopsida; Brassicales; Brassicaceae. The record is from RNAcentral.